Molecule: ribosomal RNA, 253 nt
Filed under: uncultured bacterium
Lineage: Bacteria
Description: partial 16S ribosomal RNA
Rfam family: Bacterial small subunit ribosomal RNA
Source: RNAcentral
UACGUAGGGGGCAAGCGUUGUCCGGAAUCAUUGGGCGUAAAGCGCGUGUAGGCGGCCCGGUAAGUCCGCUGUGAAGGUCCAGGGCUCAACCCUGGGAUGCCGGUGGAUACUGUCGGGCUCGAGUCCGGAAGAGGCGAGUGGAAUUCCUGGUGUAGCGGUGAAAUGCGCAGAUAUCAGGAGGAACACCAAUGGCGAAGGCAGCUCGCUGGGACGGUACUGACGCUGAGGCGCGAAAGCGUGGGGAGCAAACAGG